GAUGGUGUGGGAUGUGUCCUUUGGCAUUUUAGAAGAAUUGAGAUUGAAAGUCAAUGUUUCUUUGCCUUCAAAUGUAUUUUAUGGUUCUUUAAACCUUGAGGCUUGUUUUCUUCUCGCCAUUCAAGCUGUGCUUCAGAUGCUGAUAACUGACUUGCCAUGGUUGACUUCUUUUCUUGAAAUUAUGUUAGCUUUUGGGAAAAAUUUCUGGGCACUAAAGCUGUUUUUGGAAGGCCUCUUGUACCGAAUGCCUGUUCUUCAUGAUGUUGUCAGUAUGAUUGCCAGAGAUCUGAAUUACCAGAAAAACACUCUUCUAAAAUUGUGGCAAACUCUAGGUCCAGACUAUGUUGGGGAGCUCCUCUGCCUUUUCCUGAGCUUCAGAAAUUCACAACUGCAAUCUGUUGGCAUCUUUCUAUCACAUGUGGUAAUAGAAAACUUAAACCAGUGUCCUUGGGCAAAGUCGCUUGAUAUUUUUCGUCUCAAAGCUUUCAAAAGACCUCAUCUUGAGACUGCAAAUCAUCUUCAGUUGAACAAAUUUGUUUCUAUUUUGGAGAAUUUGUAACUAUUUCCUAAGUCAUUUCUCUUGAAAAUUACAAAUUUAUUGCAACUCACUGCCAGAUGCCUACAGUAAGCCCACCAUGACUGC
Molecule: long non-coding RNA, 643 nt
Filed under: Sarcophilus harrisii (Tasmanian devil)
Lineage: Eukaryota; Metazoa; Chordata; Mammalia; Dasyuromorphia; Dasyuridae
Description: lncRNA (ENSSHAG00000031509.1)
Source: RNAcentral